UACCACUUGCAUCAAAAAAGCUUUUAUUGUCAGUCUAACUUUCCUUCUGGACACAUCUUUUUUUUUUUUUUUUUCCUUUCUUUAUAAUCUCAGAAAAAAUCCCCACUGAAAAGGGAACAGUAUAAAACCUUCUGAAAAAUUAGUAAAAUACUCUAAGAUGAUCCACCUGCUUUAAAGCUGCAGAUAUACUAAUGUUUGUAUAAUCAGCUUUCUGAUGGAAAACUUCAAAGCUUCUGAGCUACCUGCAAAACAGCACUGCCUGUAGUGAUGGGUUGAGGAGAAGGGAAGAGGAUUGACAGAAGAAAAGACAGAUGGCAGCACCUGCUGCACAUCAGUAUAAUGUCUGCAUUGUCUUGGUGGGUGGAAAAAUGAAAGGAAACAUUUCCCAAUGGAGAGAAGAGGUACCAACUCCCCAGGGUUCCCUGGAAGAAGGAUGCUGUCCUUUACAUUUGGGUGGGGUUUCUGCCUUAGGCAUUCAUUUUCCUUUUGAAAGUGAGGGGAGCUGGUGGCAAGGUCUCUUCUGA
Molecule: long non-coding RNA, 524 nt
Filed under: Anas platyrhynchos platyrhynchos (common mallard)
Lineage: Eukaryota; Metazoa; Chordata; Aves; Anseriformes; Anatidae
Description: lncRNA (ENSAPLG00000023482.1)
Source: RNAcentral